Molecule: transfer RNA, 85 nt
Filed under: Felis catus (domestic cat)
Lineage: Eukaryota; Metazoa; Chordata; Mammalia; Carnivora; Felidae
Rfam family: tRNA
About the family: Transfer RNA (tRNA) molecules are approximately 80 nucleotides in length. Their secondary structure includes four short double-helical elements and three loops (D, anti-codon, and T loops).
Source: Rfam by way of RNAcentral
GCCUGGGUGGCUCAGUUGGUUAAGCGUCCGACUUCAGCUCAGGUCAUGAUCUCACGGUUCGUGGGUUUGAGCCCCACUUUGGGCU